AGUGAACGCUGGCGGUAGGCCUAACACAUGCAAGUCGAACGGCAGCACAGAGGAGCUUGCUCCUUGGGUGGCGAGUGGCGGACGGGUGAGGAAUACAUCGGAAUCUACUCUGUCGUGGGGGAUAACGUAGGGAAACUUACGCUAAUACCGCAUACGACCUACGGGUGAAAGCAGGGGAUCUUCGGACCUUGCGCGAUUGAAUGAGCCGAUGUCGGAUUAGCUAGUUGGCGGGGUAAGGGCCCACCAAGGCGACGAUCCGUAGCUGGUCUGAGAGGCUGAUCAGCCACACGGGAACUGAGACACGGUCCAGACUCCUACGGGAGGCAGCAGUGGGGAAUAUUGGAAAAUGGGCGCAAGCCUGAUCCAGCCAUACCGCGUGGGUGAAGAAGGCCUUCGGGUUGUAAAGCCCUUUUGUUGGGAAAGAAAUCCAUCUGGUUAAUACCCGGGUGGGAUGACGGUACCCAAAGAAUAAGCACCGGCUAACUUCGUGCCAGCCGCCGCGGUAA
This 506-nucleotide ribosomal RNA is filed under the name uncultured bacterium. RNAcentral's name for it is "partial 16S ribosomal RNA". It matches the Rfam family "Bacterial small subunit ribosomal RNA", at positions 29 to 523 of the family's 1533-position model. The record is from RNAcentral.